Molecule: long non-coding RNA, 2675 nt
Filed under: Homo sapiens (human)
Lineage: Eukaryota; Metazoa; Chordata; Mammalia; Primates; Hominidae
Description: HSALNT0313002
Source: RNAcentral
UUCUGUUGUUGGCAACCAACAGAGUUGUUGUCUUUUCUCGCAUUCAUUAAAAUGCACAAGAAGAAAUUUCUAAUGGUGAGGGAGUACUUGCUUCAAAUUCAUACUUCAGUGAAAUAAACAACACCAUACAUAGGAAUGUGAAAGCAAAGUCAUCAUACACUGUUUGCUUCAUUGUAUGAGAAUCAAUGUUUGCAUGAUAAACUGCCCUAAUGGAAGAGGACUCUGAGUUACCUUUUUCGAGCAAAGCCACCUAGGUUACUCUGUUUUCCCCAGAGUGACCCUUCUGUUCUGCAAAUUUUCAGAUUGAAGGGAGUAGCAGUAGAGUAUCAGAAGUAUCAGAAGCAAAAAAGUAAAUGUAUGAUUUGAAAUCUACUUAAAUGUACCAAUCACAGCAGAGUCUUUUGGAACUUAAACAUCUUGACUCUUCUGUUUAAAGCCUAAAUCAACCUGAGAGAAGAGAUGAAACAACUGAGGGCCAAAAAGUUUACAAAAUUUUCCAAGAUCAUACAGCUAAUUAACAACAUCUGGGCUCUUCUUGACUUUUGGAAUCCAGUAAGAAACUGUUUAGAUUAUUAAUAUUUUUACUUUAAUGAAAGCUUUACUGAUUACUUCCCAAAAUGUUUGGGAAAUUCUCAUUUUUCUGGUAUUUAUCCAAUUGUUAACAUAAAACUACUUGUAAAAUCAAACUAGAAACAAAGUUGAUUUCACAUUAGAGUUGGCAUUUUAGCUGAAAAAUGUCAAUAGUUCUGAUGUAAGUAAAGAAACCUGAAUCUAAAAAUAAAUGACAUAAAUUUGCUAGGUCAUUCCAAUAUUUAUAUACUUGAAUCUGAAUCAUCAAACACGUUUUAUAGCAUCAGGGUAUGGAUUAUAACACUAUGCUCUUAAGGGGAUCAUCAGAAUAAAUAACACAUGACACUUCAGAAAACGCAGCAAUCCCUGGAAAGAUGCCUUCUCUGUGAGGUUUCUCCUUGCAUGUGGAACACUAUUUAUUUCAUCUUCUUGAUUGGUGUUCCUGGGCAGGGGUCACAAUGUAAUGCAUAUGAGCACAUCUAAUCAGAGAGUGUUUUCAUCUUAAGACUUUUUAUUUAAUUGUCUAAAAUAAAAGUUGCCAAUUGCCAAUAUUAUUAUUUUUUCUUCAGCAAGCCUACAGUGAUUUUGGUCCAAUUAUUGUGUAAUUCUUGAUCUGUCUGUUUUGGUUUAAGUGAAAUAGCUAGCUAGGAAGACAGCUCAUAUUCUCCCAUAUCUUGAGGGAAAUAUAUUUGAUAAAACUUAGUCAAUUGUUGCAUUAUUAUUUCAUUUUAAAAUCAUUUAAUAUGACACAAUAAUUUAAGGGUUCUAAAUAAUGUUUGAGAAUCAUUAAUUACAUACAACCCAUUAGCUAUAUGUUUGAGCAAAUAAAUUUCCAUAAGCCUUUUUACGUAGACACAGCUCUAACAGGCCUGACUUUAAUGAAAGAUAGCUUUAUGGGAUAGCAUUUUGAUUGCAGUUUGUUUUGAAAUUCUAUACAAACUUAUAGAAAGGUGCACAUGAUGGUGUGAAGAACACAGUGUGUGAAAUAAGAAGAUCUGAGUUAAAUACUGGCUCUUGCACUUUCCAGUGUGUGAACCUCAGUUUCCAAAUCUGUGAAAUGGUAAUAACAAACAUUUCAUAGACUUGUUAAAGAAUUAAAUGGUGUAAUUAUAUACUGAAGCUUUUUUAUGUUUUGAAUAGCUCUGUGCAUAUGACUUUACACCAAUAAGAAAAUUUCACUAAAAAUUUCUCCUUUUCCCCCAGUUUUCAAAGCCACUUUUAAGAAACAUCACGUGUAAAUGAAAGUUUGCUAAAUUAUAUCUAAAUAACAUGCCUCCUAUAUUUCAAAUUAUUUGAUUCUACUUCUUCCCCUUGUCUAUCAUCCUUUCUCUUCAUAGACAAGUUUUAUGACAGAGUGGGCCACACUCACUAUUCACACUUCUUUUUCUGAGAUCCGUGAAGAUAUUUAAAAGUCAUCUUAUUAGGGAGGGGCAAGAAAUUUAAGUGUAUAAUUGUAUUUUAUGUUGUUAUGCCACGACUUUAUGCGAAACAAUUAAAUUCAACAGGCAUAUUGCUGUGCAGUCUUUUCUGUUCCUUUACACAAACUUUAUUUCUCGUGAUCCCUAAUUUUAAACUGUAAAAAAGUGAUGUGGAAAGUGGAUAGUGUGCUAUAUCUAGGUGUCAGUUUCUUAGAUGGCAACCUAUAUUGUUUUUAAAAUAUCUGCAUCUAUAAGAUUUCAUCCACAACACUAGUAAAAGAUCAUUGGAAUUAUAAUUUAUCCCUAUAUUUGCAAUCUUCUGCAGAGAGAACUUUUUUUUCUUAAAAUACAGCCAGGCUGAUCCAUACUGAUUUAUUUAUUUCUACUACAGUAAGUGUUCAACCAGAAGUUGAAAACACUCUGACUUUUGAAGUGGUGAUUUUCAUCGUUGUAGAAUGCUUUGUAUCUAUGACGUAUUUUGUUCUGUGCUGCCAAUGAAACACCUCUUGCUAGAUAAAGAUGCAGCUGGUGAUAGUGAUUUGAAGACUUGGCAUAUAUGAUAUGUGUGAUAUUGAUGACUAGUAUGUGUCAAUAAGUUUAGGCUAGGGUUCCAAACUGUUCUCAUCAACCUUUCAUUAUCUAAUUUUGACCAUCUUCAACUUAACUUCUAUCUUCCUUCCUACUCCU